AUUGAACGCUGGCGGCGUGCUUAACACAUGCAAGUCGUGCGGUAACAGGCGUAGCAAUACGUGCUGACGAGCGGCGAACGGGUGCGUAAUACAUGGGAAUCCGCCCUUUAGUGGGGAAUAACCCGGCGAAAGCCGGGCUAAUGCCGCAUAAGAUCUUCGGAUGAAAGCGGGGAGUCGUAAGACCUCGCGCUGAUGGAUGGGCCCGACUGUCGGAUUAGCUAGUUGGGAGGUAACGGCUCACCAAGCGACGAUCCGUAGCUGGUCUGAGAGGACGGCCAGCCACACUGGGACGUGAGACACGGCCCAGACUCCUACGGAGGCAGCAGUGGGGAAUAUUGGACAAUGGGCGAAAGACCUGAUCCAGCGACGCCGCGU
RNAcentral lists this ribosomal RNA (375 nucleotides) under uncultured bacterium. Its description in RNAcentral is "bacterial SSU rRNA". It matches the Rfam family "Bacterial small subunit ribosomal RNA", at positions 30 to 402 of the family's 1533-position model. The record is from RNAcentral.